AACAGACCGAAGGGGAGCCCCACGCUUAGGGGGCUGAGAGGUCGGCACAUGCGCCGGCGACCCUUGGAACCUGAUCCGGGUCAUGCCGGCGAAGGGAUCGGAAUCACCGCCAUC
Molecule: non-coding RNA, 114 nt
Filed under: Magnetospirillum molischianum
Lineage: Bacteria; Pseudomonadati; Pseudomonadota; Alphaproteobacteria; Rhodospirillales; Rhodospirillaceae
Also listed under: 1 other name
Description: Phaeospirillum molischianum TPP sequence
Rfam family: TPP riboswitch aptamer (THI element)
About the family: Vitamin B(1) in its active form thiamin pyrophosphate (TPP) is an essential coenzyme that is synthesised by coupling of pyrimidine and thiazole moieties in bacteria. The previously detected thiamin-regulatory element, thi box was extended, resulting in a new, highly conserved RNA secondary structure, the THI element, which is widely distributed in eubacteria and also occurs in some archaea.
Source: RNAcentral